CACAUACACACACACACACACGCACACACACAUGCACACACACACACUCGCACACACAAUGGAAAGGAAGCUGGGGAUUCCUGAGAUUCCUGUAGACAAAAAGGUGUGAACUCGGGCAGCCGAGCAGCCUGGGAAUUCUGUCGCGGUGUGCUCGGGUAGCAGCUUAACGGCCGACAGAGGUGCUGGUGACACAGCAGCAGAUAAACAAGACUUACACAGAUAAGGCAUGUUGGAGUGGUUCCCACCCUCACAUUUUUAGGACAGGUGAUAAACGGGGUGAAAAGGGUCGCGGGGGGUGCUGGAGCCUAUCCCAGCCGUCUUCG
Molecule: long non-coding RNA, 323 nt
Organism: Hippocampus comes (tiger tail seahorse)
Lineage: Eukaryota; Metazoa; Chordata; Actinopteri; Syngnathiformes; Syngnathidae
Exons: 3
Source: RefSeq, a predicted model, not a curated record